Molecule: long non-coding RNA, 364 nt
Filed under: Capsella grandiflora
Lineage: Eukaryota; Viridiplantae; Streptophyta; Magnoliopsida; Brassicales; Brassicaceae
Description: long non-coding RNA (CGRA_LNC001260)
Source: RNAcentral
UGUUCGUGUUGGAUUAUCAUGAUUUGCUUCUACCUUAUGUGAACAAAGUGAGAGAGUUGGAUAACACCAACUUAUAUGCAUCUCGAACACUAUUCUACCUCAGCGAUGAUAGCACAUUGAGGCCUGUUGCCAUUGAGUUGACAGUUCCACCAAAUAUCAACAAGCCACAAUGGAAGCAAGUCUUCACACCAGGCUAUGAUGCUACCUCAUGCUGGCUAUGGAGUCUUGCUAAGACUCAUGCUAUAUCUCAUGACGCCGGUUAUCACCAGCUUAUAUCCCAUUGGUAUUGAAAAACACUCAUUAAUUCAAAACACACAUAUUUAUAUGAUCUUCUUAUAUACGGAUUACUGAUGGAUAAAUUUAC